UGGGUGGAACAGGAAGAUUUUAUUUAGGUGGCCACCGGCCCAGCAGAUAAACAUCCAAAGGCUGAGCCCUGAACAGAGACAGGGCUUGACUUUUAUACAUGCAUCCAGCAGGGGCGAGUCAGGUUUUUGGCGCAAAACCUGUAGGCAGGAAAGCAGUCUUACAGAAGCAGAACAAAGGCAGUUAAUCAUACUGUGACAGGUUUUACAACAGGCUUUGCAACAUGAGCAUACCUUACUUAAACAUGUCUUGUGACCUUGCCAUGCUACAGAAAAACAGGAACUUACAAAAUCUUUAGAAUUGCAGAAAUAGUUACAAAAAUAGUUGUGAGAACAGAACAAAGAAUAAUGGUAUGGGGAGAGAAUUUCAAAUGGGGAAACUGAUAAGGAGAACUUGUUUUUCUCAUCUCUGCUCCUGAAGCCCAUUCUUUCGGGGCCCCUGUCUGGCCUUGCAGAUCAUUAUCAUAGCUCCAACAGGACUUUGGAGUGAGUCAGACUGGUCAGGGAAGGACUUGUUUUCCCUUUACUUGUUUUUCCUUUUAUAUUUCCUGCUUCAUUCCCUCCUUUGAUACUUUUUAUAAGUAAGGUUUAAUAGAAAGCAUCACUAUCUUCAUUUAGUUCUUCAAGAGGAAGUACCUAUUUUCUUGGCAGGGGUUGAUACUUAGGGCCAUUAGUCAUGUGGUAGUCUGUCUGUCCACAAGAGCCUCUAUGGCUGUUUGGAUAUUUUUGACAAUGAGGGGUAAGAGACAAGGGAGUGCAAGGCAGACUCCCAAUAUGGCAAGAACUACUCAUACUAAGGUUUUAAAUCCUCCAAGGGAUGAGAACCAACCUCUGAAGAGGGAAUCUGGAGACUAUCCUUUCCAAGACUGAACUGGGAUGUGGGCUAACUUUUGGAUUUUUGCAGUUAUUUCUUCGAUGACCUUUCCAUUGUCAUCAAUUUCCAGGCAGCAGUUAGUUAGGUUGAACUUUCCGCAUACUCCCUCUUCCUGGGCUAGGAGGUAGUCUAAAGCCAGUCUAUUUUGAUAAAUGGCAUUUCUCAUUUUUGUGGCUUGCUGGGCAAGCAGAUUCAAGGCCCCUGCAGUUUCAUUGGUAAUGAUUUCUAGUACUGCCUGCAAUCUUAUAAUGCGGUUGAGCAUGUAAAUUGGGGUGCGGUAUCCCCACAUUCCAUCUUCUGCCCAGGUGGCUGGGCCAUAAUAUUGAAUUAUUCUUUCAGGAGGCCAUUCAUUUUCCUUCCAAUCUCCCAGAGUUAUGCCUCUUCUGCUUUUCCUUUUAGUUUCAUCAUAGAUGGGGUAUCCUAAGACUUCUCCCUGUUUUAGGGGGAUUAGGAAGAAGGACGGCCUAAUUGUCCCCAGUACACAGGCCCCUGACCACUUAGCUGGCAGCUGUCGAUAUGCCCGUGGCCCACAGAUCCAGUAGAGGCCAGAGGGUGCCUGCCAGGUAUUUGGAGCUUCAAGUUGGUACCAAGAAUGGUUUAAAGAUGGGAAACGAGAGAAUGGGCUUGGGUGCGGUGAUUCAGAAUUAUUGCUUUUGCCCCUCCAUAAAGUCUUUCCUAGUGUCUCAUUGUAAUAUUGUUGUCCUAGGCAAGUUAACUCUCCUACUGGGUCUGUAAAGGCCUUUCCCCAGCGAGCAAUACAGAAUUUUCCAAUAAUGGAGGUUUUUAAGAACCAGAUGCUCUGACUUGUCAGUGCAGGUUCAAGGGAAGAGGCAGUUAGACUGAAAUUAUCUUGGGGCAUUAGCUCCCUUGCUUCCCACGGCCAUUGGUCUCCCACGUUCGUUCCCCCACAGACAUAACAUGAAGCGACGUGCAGGCUGCUGGCUAUGUUUUCAGCCAGUUGGGCGAAUAAAUUUCUGGCCAAGGGAGGGGACUCAGGCAAUUUCUGGUUAACAUGCUCAUAGAAUGACUCAAAAACUCGGAACUGUUGGGUUGAGCGGGUCCGAGUUUUCUUUAUUACAUAUAGAUAGACAUAGGCUCCUGGGUCAAUUUCUUUACCGCUGACUCGUGCCCCUAGUGGUGCUUUUAAACCUGUUGUCCAUAUGGGCUGAUCUGGCUCUAAGAUGGUAAGAUUUACAGAAUUGCAAGUGCUUGUUUUACAAUCUGGUUCCAAUGAUAUUUUGGUAAGCAUAAUUGGCCCCAGUGAUUGCUGGCUGCUGGACCACGUUGUGCAGUCCCAGCAAGUUGUUACUGGGGAAUCAGUGGAACAAGCAGGGGGUGCACACCUAUUUUUAUGGCAGCUACUAUAGUACUCCAUGGAACUGAAGAUUACGGGAAAGAGUGAGCCCAUGGAUGCUAUCCGGCAAACAUCAAAGUAUAAGGAUACAACACCCUUGCUGGAAGGAAAGACCUUGGUUUGGUUUAGAAGAUCCCCUUCCUUUGACCCGAC
Macaca fascicularis (crab-eating macaque) is the source of this 2378-nucleotide long non-coding RNA. The record is from Ensembl. Lineage: Eukaryota; Metazoa; Chordata; Mammalia; Primates; Cercopithecidae.